ACGAACGCUGGCGGCGUGCUUAACACAUGCAAGUCGAACGGAAAGGCCCUGCUUUUGUGGGGUGCCCGAGUGGCGAACGGGUGAGUAACACGUGAGUAACCUGCCCUUGACUUUGGGAUAACUUCAGGAAACUGGGGCUAAUACCGGAUAGGAGCUCCUGCUGCAUGGUGGGGGUUGGAAAGUUUCGGCGGUUGGGGAUGGACUCGCGGCUUAUCAGCUUGUUGGUGGGGUAGUGGCUUACCAAGGCUUUGACGGGUAGCCGGCCUGAGAGGGUGACCGGCCACAUUGGGACUGAGAUACGGCCCAGACUCCUACGGGAGGCAGCAGUGGGGAACAUUGCACAAUGGGCGGAAGCCUGAUGCAGCAACGCCGCGUGCGGGAUGACGGCCUUCGGGUUGUAAACCGCUUUCGCCUGUGACGAAGCGUGAGUGACGGUAAUGGGUAAAGAAGCACCGGCUAACUACGUG
Molecule: ribosomal RNA, 467 nt
Filed under: uncultured bacterium
Lineage: Bacteria
Description: partial 16S ribosomal RNA
Rfam family: Bacterial small subunit ribosomal RNA
Source: RNAcentral